GGCCCUGUAGUUCAAUGGAUAGACUCGAGGUUUCCUAAACCGUUGAUCCGGGUUCGAUUCCCGGCGGGGCUC
Molecule: transfer RNA, 72 nt
Filed under: Bacteroidales bacterium
Lineage: Bacteria; Pseudomonadati; Bacteroidota; Bacteroidia; Bacteroidales
Description: tRNA-Arg
Rfam family: tRNA
About the family: Transfer RNA (tRNA) molecules are approximately 80 nucleotides in length. Their secondary structure includes four short double-helical elements and three loops (D, anti-codon, and T loops).
Source: RNAcentral